GCCCCGGUAGCUCAUCCGGUAUAGCGCAUGCCACAUACGCAGCGGCCCAGGUUCGAAUCCAGCCUGGGCCC
Molecule: transfer RNA, 71 nt
Filed under: Albula goreensis
Lineage: Eukaryota; Metazoa; Chordata; Actinopteri; Albuliformes; Albulidae
Description: tRNA-OTHER
Source: RNAcentral